GCUUACACAUGCAAGUCGAACGGUGAAAGAGAGCUUGCUCUCUGGAUCAGUGGCGAACGGGUGAGUAACACGUGAGCAAUCUGCCCCUGACUCUGGGAUAACAGCUGGAAACAGCUGCUAAUACCGGAUACGAGCUGCGAAGGCAUCUUCAGCAGCUGGAAAGAAUUUCGGUCAGGGAUGAGCUCGCGGCCUAUCAGCUUGUUGGUGAGGUAAUGGCUCACCAAGGCGUCGACGGGUAGCCGGCCUGAGAGGGUGACCGGCCACACUGGGACUGAGACACGGCCCAGACUCCUACGGGAGGCAGCAGUGGGGAAUAUUGCACAAUGGGCGAAAGCCUGAUGCAGCAACGCCGCGUGAGGGACGACGGCCUUCGGGUUGUAAACCUCUUUUAGCAAGGAAGAAGCGAAAGUGACGGUACUUGCAGAAAAAGCGCCAGCUAACUACGUGCC
RNAcentral lists this ribosomal RNA (449 nucleotides) under Microbacterium ginsengisoli. RNAcentral's name for it is "bacterial SSU rRNA". It matches the Rfam family "Bacterial small subunit ribosomal RNA", at positions 46 to 509 of the family's 1533-position model. Lineage: Bacteria; Bacillati; Actinomycetota; Actinomycetes; Micrococcales; Microbacteriaceae. The record is from RNAcentral.